CCUAAACUAGCUCUUCUGGAGGGAGGAGAAAAUAAAUAAGAGAGAGAGAGAGAGGCAUUUGAAGUAACCUUUUUAAGGAGAAGGCAGCAACCAAUAGAACCUUUUCUUAUUUUUUUCCACUUCUUACUAGAGAAAUUCGUGUUAUCUCAGCAAUUAAGGAGAAGAGCCAGCAUCUAGGGUUCCAGGCUGUGAGGGGAAGUAGCAACUUGUACCAGAUCUGGAUGGAGUGUUUCUUCAUCUGCAUGAUGCUGUCUAGGACUACAGCUCUGUGACACUCCUCAGCUGUGCUAGCAGAAGAGGCAGAGAGGCUUCCAAGAAGCUCUGAAAAGGAGAAAAGUCUGGAGCUUCUAAUUAGAAAUCAAAAUGUUUUGAGCAUCAUGAAUUCACACUACCUCCUAGAGCUUAUGUGACUUGAGAGCUAAAGAACACAGCCCUGCAAGCUAUAGUACAUAUAACUGUGGAUUCAAGGUUCCAAUUAAAACCCUGUUUGGGCCAUUGCUUUGCCUUCCAGUUCUUAAUCUUUCCCGAAAGCCUCAUCACUUAUCUAAAACAAAAGAAGAAUGAGGGUCCCUCAAGAGAGAUGCCCACUGACUUCCUGAAGAUGUUCUGAAAGACUGUAAAUCAUCUUUAAGUGAAGAGAAGUUUCUGAAUCAAAUACAUUGAGGUA
Non-coding RNA from Chrysemys picta bellii (western painted turtle), 667 nucleotides. NCBI's taxonomy places the organism in Eukaryota, Metazoa, Chordata, Testudines, Emydidae. The record is from RefSeq and is a predicted model, not a curated record.